UGGUCAUGAUGUUUGUGCAGGAAU
Molecule: non-coding RNA, 24 nt
Filed under: Mus musculus (house mouse)
Lineage: Eukaryota; Metazoa; Chordata; Mammalia; Rodentia; Muridae
Source: RNAcentral